RNAcentral lists this ribosomal RNA (130 nucleotides) under uncultured bacterium. RNAcentral's name for it is "partial 16S ribosomal RNA". It matches the Rfam family "Bacterial small subunit ribosomal RNA", at positions 917 to 1045 of the family's 1533-position model. The record is from RNAcentral.
GGGCCCGCACAAGCGGUGGAGCAUGUGGUUUAAUUCGACGCAACGCGAAGAACCUUACCUAGGCUUGACAUGUACCAGAAAGCCUCUGGAAACAGAGGCCCCUCUUCGGAGCUCGUGCACAGGUGCUGCA